RNAcentral lists this ribosomal RNA (255 nucleotides) under uncultured bacterium. Its description in RNAcentral is "partial 16S ribosomal RNA". It matches the Rfam family "Bacterial small subunit ribosomal RNA", at positions 524 to 783 of the family's 1533-position model. The record is from RNAcentral.
UACGUAGGGUGCAAGCGUUGUCCGGAAUUAUUGGGCGUAAAGAGCUCGUAGGCGGUUUGUCGCGUCUGCUGUGAAAACCCGAGGCUCAACCUCGGGCCUGCAGUGGGUACGGGCAGACUAGAGUGCGGUAGGGAGAUUGGAAUUCCUGGUGUAGCGGUGAAUGCGCAGAUAUCAGGAGGAACACCGGUGGCGAAGGCGGCGACCUGGUCCGAUACUGACGCUGAGGCGCGAAGACGUGGAGCAACAGGAUAGAAC